UUCCGGUUGAUCCUGCCAGACCUGACUGCUNAUCGGAUUGAUACUAAGCCAUGCGAGUCGUUGUAGCAAUACAAGGCAUACGGCUCAGUAACGCGUAGUCAACCUAACCUAUGGACGGGAAUAACCUCGGGAAACUGAGAAUAAUGCCCGAUAGAACAUUAUGCCUGGAAUGGUUUAUGUUCCAAAUGAUUUAUCGCCAUAGGAUGGGACUGCGGCCUAUCAGUUUGUUGGUGAGGUAAUGGCCCACCAAGACUAUUACAGGUACGGGCUCUGAGAGGAGUAGCCCGGAGAUGGGUACUGAGACACGGACCCAGGCCCUAUGGGGCGCAGCAGGCGAGAAAACUUUGCAGUGUGCGAAAGCACGACAAGGUUAAUCCGAGUGAUUUCUGCUAAAGAGAUCUUUUGUUAGUCCUAGAAACACUAACGAAUAAGGGGUGGGCAAGUUCUGGUGUCAGCCGCCGCGGUAAAACCAGCACCUCAAGUGGUCAGGAUGAUUAUUGGGCCUAAAGCAUCCGUAGCCGGCUCUGUAAGUUUUCGGUUAAAUCUGUACGCUCAACGUACAGGCUGCCGGAAAUACUGCAGAACUAGGGAGUGGGAGAGGUAGACGGUACUCGGUAGGAAGUGGUAAAAUGCUUUGAUCUAUCGAUGACCACCUGUGGCGAAGGCGGUCUACCAGAACACGUCCGACGGUGAGGGAUGAAAGCUGGGGGAGCAAACCGGAUUAGAUACCCGGGUAGUCCCAGCUGUAAACUAUGCAAACUCAGUGAUGCAUUGGCUUGUGGCCAAUGCAGUGCUGCAGGGAAGCCGUUAAGUUUGCCGCCUGGGAAGUACGUACGCAAGUAUGAAACUUAAAGGAAUU
This 859-nucleotide ribosomal RNA is filed under the name uncultured archaeon. Its description in RNAcentral is "bacterial SSU rRNA". It matches the Rfam family "Archaeal small subunit ribosomal RNA", at positions 1 to 866 of the family's 1478-position model. The record is from RNAcentral.